RNAcentral lists this unclassified non-coding RNA (208 nucleotides) under Glomeraceae sp. RNAcentral describes it as "partial contains 5.8S ribosomal RNA and internal transcribed spacer 2". The stretch from base 1 to 71 matches the Rfam family "5.8S ribosomal RNA", at positions 84 to 154 of the family's 154-position model. The record is from RNAcentral. Lineage: Eukaryota; Fungi; Glomeromycota; Glomeromycetes; Glomerales; Glomeraceae.
GUGAAUCAUCGAAUUUUUGAACGCAAAUUGCGCUUCCUGGCAUCCCGGGAAGUAUGCCUGUUUGAGGGUCAGUAUUAACUUCAAAUCGGUUUGGUUGCAAAUUGUGACGCUUCCGGUGUUUGGGCUACUUUAACUUUUUUGGUUAAGGGGCUUAAAAUUGACCUUAUUUGCGCACUCUUUGACGUACAUACAUUUUUUUUUUAUUCGU